UCUCUUACCUUUCGUCAUCUUUUUCUUCUUUACCAAUCCAUCGAGUGGAGCGAGCUACAGCUUGAUUCAUUGUUGUUCAUGUCAAUCGCAAGUUAGAGGUACACGAGCGCUCGUUCUGAGCUCGAGCUGAACGCCGAUCAGUGCCCAACCAAACGUCUGUUCUAGGCUUGGUUGAGAGCCCUAGUAUACAUAGGGGUAGACAUCCCUAAUGUUGUAGGGUAUUUCUACAACCUCGAUACGAAAUGGAACUCUGAAUUCUGUCGGAGCAAUGGUGGUGGCUCCAAGUCGGAGAGGUUCAUAUCAAUCAGGGAUCGCAAUAUGUCAUCCAAUGAGAAUGGUCGAUUGCGAAGCAACUGAUUCUCUGACUCCAAUGUGCUGAUCUUGCCUUCGAGGCUGAAGAACAGUUCCAAUUUAUAAAUCAAGCUCUUUGCGAAGUCAUUUUAGAGACAAAAUAUCAAUUCAUAAUGUAAGGGCACGUGCAAUUCCAUAUCAGGUGAGUUCUUCGACCUUCUUUUCAAGCUUGUCCUUGGCUUCUUUGAGUGCUCCUGUCUCUCUUGCAGCCUACAGAAACAUUUUGUCAGUAUUUGUACUUCUCUUCCAUAACAUCCAACAAACUGUAGACAAGAACGAGCUUUGUAUAGACGCCAUUGAGUCUGCAGGCCACAACAAAAAAUAGAUUAAUACUUCUAAUCAAUCUUAAGGUACUUAUUCAACACAAUUUCCCAUUAGUCGAUUCCACUUACUUGUAUGAUUAUAGCAGCGUUGGUUCUCCUUCUAUGUCUGUAUACAUUUCGAGCUGCCAUCGCUCGUAGUCCUGUUUCUAUAACUAUUGCAGAUGAUCGCAGUUUUGUGUAAGCUUUUCUUGCAGCAUGAGAACGUGCAUAUUUCUGAAUGCGGAUUGAGGCAUCUUCUCUCCUCAUGCCUUCAUAUAACUUGCGUGCAAGACGUGCUGCAGAUGGUAAUAAUGCUACAUCAAGUUAUCCGCAGGACUAAUUUGGUAUCCUAUAAGGCGAAUCAUAGAAAAUAACCUCUCCAUAGUUUUUGCAUUUGAAUUGAGGCUUUGCGCAGUAUUAUGAAUUCUUUUCGAGCAAGAUGUGUGCGUAUCUGCCUCUGAAUUAGUUUGGAAGCAUUAGAUAAGACUUCCAUUCGUCGGGCAUCUAGCUCAGCCAUCUGACCAGCUCUGAGGAACACUUUUGUCUUUCCUAUCUGAUAGCAAGAUAUGUGAGUGGUGUUUAGAUUUAGAAUAUAUAAUUCAUAUUCAUUUAGGUAGUUUCUAUCUCUGAUGUCCUUUUUCUUAGUUUAUUGUUUAUUCACUGAAUGCACCUGAUAACCUUUCAAGCCCAUAUUGUCACAUAUAGCUGCACAUGCUGCUUUUUCGUCGGAGCUGCAAGAUUCAUUUGGACAUGUACCUGUCUACAAGAUCUGGUGCAAGAAUUCCAAAGCGAUCAACAAAUUCAUCAAAUGUUCUCUUUGUGGGAUAGCCAGCACAACUAAUCCUGAUUGCCUCUAGCACACCCUAGAUUAGGAGCGAAGAGGACAUUGAAAUUCUCAAAGAUGCCUGGUUUUAAGACUGCAUUGGGCUUCACACAUCUGAUGUAAUGUGGUUCUGUCGUGCUCAAUGUUUCCAUAAGUGCUUGAAGUUGUUGCUGCAAAUUUCACCUAAACAACUAUCACAAAAUUGAAGAAGAGCAUCAGAACUGAUAAUAUUUCAAAUCUGUAGCCCUUGCAUACCUUAAAGCGAGUGCCUAUUGAGGAGAACUUUGACUGUUUUGAAGUUUCCUCUGCUAAUGGUGGAAAGAGGUUUGCCACAAAAGGGCACUUUGAAUCAUUUAAAAGAGCUUGAUGUUCUGCGACAACAUAGUCUUUGUUCUUAUCAAGGAAUUGAUCAGCUUGCAUAAUGGUUGAUGGUGAAUGCAGUGCGUGCAAGUUUUGGCUUGCUAAAACGUUUGUGGCUUUUGUAUGUUUGGUACAUCUUCUGAGCAAAGAUAAUUUUCCAACCAAAAGAAAAGAAGGAAACAGAUGUACCAUGCUUCAUCAAGUAGCGCAACUAUUCCGCCGGGUUUCUGCAUUGAAACAGGGUUUGAAUUACUCAUUGUGGGUAUAGUGUGAAUGCCAAGGGCGAUGUGUCUUUUACCUCCAAGACCUGCUGCUCGACGGUUCGGCCCUCUGUACCUGAUCUCCCUCCCAUGAAAGCUAGAUAUCUCAUGAGCAUCUUCGUGGUCUCUGUUUUGCCAGCUCCGCUCUCUCCGCUAACCAAGAUCGAUUGGCUUCCAUGGUCAUUUAUGAUUGCCCUGAUAUUGCCUCAAUGGCAGUUUCAUAUUAGUACACUUCAAUUAGAAUGUGAUGAUAGCACUCUGAACUCUUUACACACUACCUGUAGCAAGCAUCUGCAACUGCAAAAAGAUGAGGACUUAGCUCACCGAAAGCAGCACCCUUGUACUGUUCCAUCAUGUGGACAUCAUACAGAUGUGGAAGUCUCCGAAAGGGGUUCACGGCUAUCAAUAUAUUUCCAGUGUUGAUCAGGAAGAUAGAACGUACAUAAAUCUCAUUCAGUGUAUAGCGAGCUGCGAGGUUAUUCAGAACUCCUGGUUCAUGGAGGUAAGCCAAUUUGGUCAUGUCAUCCACUCCAGCCUGAGGAGCCUCUGUAUCUUUCGGGUAUAUACUCGACAGACUAGCCACGACCUGCGUAAUUGAUCGAGACUCGUGAGAUAUGCUGCUGAAAAGUAUCGAGAUACUUCAGGCUGGAGCAAACAAUAUCAUCUUCCGCUAUCAAAACGAGAAAUUGUCGACUUCAUUGUAACAUUUGUCUGUUGUAGUAAAUCCAUCGCACCGAGAAAGAAACUGUAUGAUCUUAUAAAAUAUUGUCUCCAGAAGUAGAUGACCCAUUUGUUGUGAUACAACACGAGUAAAUCGUUGCAGAUUUGUAUAUGAAUUACUAACUGGAUUCCAUCUUAUACUACCCUCGUGGCUUGAUUCUUCA
Musa acuminata AAA Group (dessert banana) is the source of this 2980-nucleotide long non-coding RNA. RefSeq lists it as uncharacterized. The transcript has 11 exons. NCBI's taxonomy places the organism in Eukaryota, Viridiplantae, Streptophyta, Magnoliopsida, Zingiberales, Musaceae. The record is from RefSeq and is a predicted model, not a curated record.